Molecule: long non-coding RNA, 132 nt
Filed under: Zonotrichia albicollis (white-throated sparrow)
Lineage: Eukaryota; Metazoa; Chordata; Aves; Passeriformes; Passerellidae
Description: lncRNA (ENSZALG00000010392.1)
Source: RNAcentral
CUUGACAGCACUCCUGGAACUGGCCUGUCCAAGACUGUCUCCACAAAACCCCAGCUAAGAGUUAUAAGUCUGUAUAAAUACAGUGUCAGAAAUGAAAAGAGAUAAAACAAAUUGAAGACAAAAACCUCCAAC